UUUUCUUUUCUCUUUUGUUUAAUUACUCUCACUGAUUUCCCGGUGAUUAGUUGAUUAAUUGUUACUAAUCUUUAGUUGUUAUUGCCUUUAUUUAGAUUGUGAAAUAACGGUGAAGAAGAAAAAACAAUAAAUUGGAAAAUGAAUCCAUAAAAAGGUUUCAAGUCAUCAUCUAGUCUCAUCUUCACCUUAAUCUCAUGAAAAGAUUAUCUUGAAUAAUCAUCCGGAAGUAGGUACAUGAUAUACCCAAAAAGAUAAUCUUUGAACCUGAAGUGAGAGAGAUUAACAAAACUGGACACAAGCAAAAGGAAAUGAUGAUACUGAUAAUUAAAUGUCCAGGAAAUGGUUAAAGAAAUUUUCUAGUGUGUAGUUUACCAUAGAUUCACAUGGGAGCUUUUACCUUAAUCCUCAUCAUCAUUUCAUACUCAAAAAUAGAUGAUCCUUGGCUUCAUUUUCAAUUCUCUAACCUCAUCAUCAGCAUCUUAAUCAUGAUCAUUUUCACAAUUACAAUUCACCAAUCAUUAAAUCAUCCUUGAUUAUCACUUACGACCAUUUUUCUCUCAUCUCUAAUCUAUUAAUUUUUAAUCUGCAGAUAAUAAACAAGGAUUAAAUGUCCAAGAAAAAGUUAAUCAAAAUGAGAAAUGAUUAAACUAAAUGUUUCAUUAAUUUGGACAAUUAGAUUUAAUUAUAACUUAAUAAUGAAAAUUAACACUUUCUCCAACUUUCUCAGCUGUUAAACUAAAUUAACUAAGCUGAUUAAAGCUUAAUCAUGUUCCAAUAUCAUAAUUAAUAUAACCUGCUGUUGGUUAAUUCAUUGAAACUGAUUAUCUAAAUUGUUGUUAUAAUCUAAUUUAAAUGAUAUUCAGUUGAUUACCAUUUAAUUGGAUUGAUUGUGAAAGUACAUUAGGAAAUAAAAUUUCUAUCAGAUUAUCAUUAA
This is a long non-coding RNA of Panonychus citri (citrus red mite), 934 nucleotides long. RefSeq lists it as uncharacterized. The transcript has 5 exons. The record is from RefSeq and is a predicted model, not a curated record. Lineage: Eukaryota; Metazoa; Arthropoda; Arachnida; Trombidiformes; Tetranychidae.